RNAcentral lists this ribosomal RNA (253 nucleotides) under uncultured bacterium. Its description in RNAcentral is "partial 16S ribosomal RNA". It matches the Rfam family "Bacterial small subunit ribosomal RNA", at positions 524 to 776 of the family's 1533-position model. The record is from RNAcentral.
UACGUAGGGUGCAAGCGUUGUCCGGAAUUAUUGGGCGUAAAGAGCUCGUAGGCGGUCUGUCGCGUCGGCUGUGAAAUCCCGGGGCUUAACCCCGGGCCUGCAGUGGAUACGGGCAGGCUGGAGGCAGGCAGGGGAGAACGGAAUUCCCGGUGUAGCGGUGAAAUGCGCAGAUAUCGGGAGGAACACCGGUGGCGAAGGCGGUUCUCUGGGCCUGUACUGACGCUGAGGAGCGAAAGCGUGGGGAGCGAACAGG